UUGUUUGCUCUUUUUUUUUUAAAACAAAACAAAACAAAACUCCUUCCGUGUGACUUUUUUUUUAUAUAUAUAAAGCAUUUGUAACAACACACGGCAUUUAUAACUUACUUUUCCCCCAGUUGAAGAUGUCUAUAUUUUUUCAAAAUACUUUAUGUAAUUUUGGGGUGGAAAAAACCCCAGCGUUGACAGCUGUGAUUUGGCUUGCCAAAAAUAAAUUGCUUGAACCGAGACUUGUGAAUGGUGGUGUGAGGGCUUUCCUUGCUGUAAUCUAGGGUGUUAAAAAUGAAGAAUUGUCUUUCCUAAUGCAUAGCUUGGUUUUACCUUUGCUGUCUUAAUAGUUUGUUAUUGUUUGUGGAAUAUCAUUCUUUUUUCAAGAUAAAUUUAUUGAAAAAUCACAAAUUACACCUUAAGUUAAAAAAAUGGUGUUGUAAAUCACUGAUUCUGGGCAGAUCCUUAUGGUAAUUUAGAGUCUAAAUUCCGUUGUCUAGAUGAGUACAUGUCAGAAGUUUGCUCUAACUACAUAAGGGGAUUUCCCUUUCUUUUGUUCAUCUAAUUUUUUCCUUCUGGCAAGUUGUGCCCUGCUUAUUGACAAAAGAUUGAAAUGCUUAUAUAUAUAUAUAAAUUUGAAAACUUUAAGAAACUAAAAUAAUACUGUUCAUAAUCAAAUGAGUCUAAAUCAAAAUUACUUUGGAAGGUGGAUAUUGAGAUGUGUACUUUUUAAUAUGUUUGCAUAUGUAAUUCCAGUUAGCCUUUUAAUGGAGCAUUUGAUACACUAAAUAACUUGAAACAAAAUGGGAUUACUUUCAUUACAUGUAGCAUACUCUUGUCAGUUAUUUUGACAGUGGCUUUGGGGUAGGGAUGAAAACUUGAUAGGAAGGAUGCUUUAUAAAAUCUGAUAGAAUUUCUAGACCAUUGGUUUAUCCCAGAAGUUAAAGGAGGUAGCAGUAAAAUACUGUAUGAAGAUACCGGUUAUGACCUGGAACCUCGUUGGGUUUUGGCCUACUCCUGGACAUUUGCUCUGUUGGGUACAAGCAAAUAGGAUUUUGAGAGUGUGUGGAAGGGAGGCCAGAGAAAUUGGUAGUAGACAUAGGAAAGAAAUGUGGCCACUGCCCUGGGGUGAACUUUGGGGGGGAAAGCAAAGGUAAUUAGAGAGGAUUUUGAGGAAGAGCUUUCAGCAAAAUAGUAUAUCUUACUUAGCAAUGCUUUUGGAAUUGAAACUUUUUCUUUUCGGUGUAUUUUUAAAAAAUAUAUAUUUUUAUUUAUUUCAGAGAGGAAGGUAGAGGGAAGGAGAGAUAGAAGCAUCAAUGAUGAGAGAGAAUCAUUGAUAGGCUGCCUCCUGCAUGACCUCUACUGGGGAUUGAGCCCAUAACCCGGGCAUGUGCCCUUGACCUGGGACCUUUCAGUCCCCAGGUUCACGCUCUAUCCACUGAGCCAAACUGGCUAGGGCUUGAGUGUAUUAUUUUAAGAGGUGCUUCAAGGCAGAAAGCCAAAAACAGUUACAGUGGGAUUGGGUUAGCCACUCAAGGAGAUUCAGUGAUAUCCAGGUUCUUCCAAAAUAAAAUUUAAACUUUCUGAAAAAUGAGAGUUUAUAUUUUUUAGAAAAUCAGGCUAUUGUGAGUUUAUAAUAAUAUAGUUAAUAUUCUGGCUAUUUGUCAAUUUAUAACCUUUAGUUUAGUACACAAACUUUUUAAACAUUGGUGCAUAUCAAAGUAGCCUCAGUAAGGAAACUGAGGCAUAGGCCAAAGAGAUGGUUGGCCAAAA
This is a long non-coding RNA of Myotis daubentonii (Daubenton's bat), 1761 nucleotides long. RefSeq lists it as uncharacterized. NCBI's taxonomy places the organism in Eukaryota, Metazoa, Chordata, Mammalia, Chiroptera, Vespertilionidae. The record is from RefSeq and is a predicted model, not a curated record.